AGCUCUCACCUAAUGAUCUCCCUACUCACUCCUGACCAGGACGCAGGUCAUUCCCCAUAAUAAUUAGCUCACAGGCAGAGUUUCCAGGCGCUUCCAGGAGCAUCAAUCACCGGGAUGAAUGGGAAGCCCGUGUGUGGGAACUGCAGGGGGAGCUGGGUGCAGAGCCACCUCAGCCCUGUCACCCUGCGCGUGUCUCUGCCAUGCUUCCUUGGAUCCCUAUCUACCCCGUUUUGGGUGACAGGACGAGUUGGGCCAGUUACCAGAGUACAGGACAUUUACUUUGUGGACUGCCAUUCAAUUUGACAACAGAUUUGUUUUUAAUGUGCACUUUCUGGAAACAAGAUAUUGUUCCUCAAAGAAAUGAAAAAAAUGUUGGGAAUACAUAAGACAUCAUAACAGACACCAGCCUGAGUCGAAGCUGUUAAAGAGGCCAAGAAUUCCCAAGCUUUCCCAGGCAAACGGGGAAGAACACUGGGAUGCCUUUUCCUCCUCCUCUGUCCAUCUGCAGGCCAAGUGUGCAUCAGUCACAGGCAAACUCUGAAUUGAGCUUUGUGCAAGUCUCUGGAAAGAGACCCAAGAUCGUGUGAUGAGCAAAAGUGACAGUGCUGGAGGCAGCGACAUCUGCAGAGCCAGCCCCAUCCCUAUCUGCAGCAGAAUAUGUAUGGGGAUCCUUUAUGUGAACAAUCCACCCAGGGUAGAAUGGGGCUUUUGACAUCAGCUGAGACCCAGGCGGCCUUACAAUGAGAGGGCUGUUGGUCAAAGGAAGGACUGUUUAAUGAACUGAGAAUCUGAGGCCAGCUCUGGCCAUCUGCACUUGGAAUCAUUAGAGCAACUCUACUGUAACUGGCAACCUUGAAUAAUGCAGCAAAUUCAUAUUCCAAAAUUGUGAACUUUAAAAUUUUGUGUUUGUGUCUAUGAUGAAAAGCAUUAUAUAAACAUUUGAUACUACAAUUUUAUUAGUAAGGAAGGCUGAAAAAGUAUCUCUCUUUUGACUCUGAGGUCAAUAAUGAUAAUGGCUUUUCCCCUACACUGGGAUAGAAAUGUUCUGUCAAGGAUAUGAAAACACUUUAUGAAAAUGAAAUUCAUUAAAGCCCUUAAUAAUCAGGUAGGGAAGGCAGGUGCUCACAAUUGUCACCUGUUGGUGAGUGAACACCUUAGGCUCGGGGAGGACAAUGACUCAAGAACAAGGUCGAAUUGCAGGUGGGGGGUGAAGCUGAUCCCUAACAGUGUCCUCCAGCCCCUGGCACUGAGGAAGGACAUGGAGGGCUUGCAUCGACUUUUCCUGGCAGGCUUGUGAUUCCCAGCCAGAAUGCAGGUGGCAAUGUUGUGAUUCCUGGCGUAACCUUCAAUGCUUCAAUGAUAAUCUCUGCUGGUGCCAGGCACCAGCUGAGUGUCACUGUGCAGCUCCCAGGCUUAAGUGAUGCAUGCCGAGGUUUUCAGAGCAGUCUCUCAUUUAUUAGUUGUGUUGGAAAGAAAUCUGUACUACCUAACUGGGUACCUCUGGAUUUUAACAGCUGUGGUUUAUAAGAGAUAUGAGAGGGGGUUUGUUUUCAAAGUGCCUUUCACAAAGUAACACCUUAGACUGUAGUUUACAUUCCAUUCCAGUAGGAUAACUUGCAACACUUCUGUGCUCAGAAAUCCAACUGUGCAAGAAAAGUCAGGUUAUAUUUUCAUACAGCCCGUUCUGGCAAAUAUGCCUUCACACCACUUUCCCUCCUCCUCACCGCUAUUGGCAAUAGUCCCAAUGGAAGAGUUUUAUGUCAAAUGCUGAGUAUCUUGGAAGCUGUCCUGCACAGACACGACUGCUUGGCUGCGUGUUGGAGAGUCGCGGUUGGACUGGGAGACCAGGAAGGUCCCUUCUGGUCUGAGAUGUGAUGACUCUAGAACUAAUUAGUUUCAACUCAUAACACGAAAUGAUACUAGCUACCAUUUGGUGGGCUUUUUCUGUGUUCCAGGCUCUGUGCUAAGAUCUUAGCAUUACUCUAAUUACAAAAUCCCUGCCAAUAUUAUCCUCAGUUUACGCAAGAACAAAUGGGUUUAGGGAAAUCAAAAACUUGUCCAAUGACACAGAUUUAAGAUUUAGCAACUGAUGGCCACGUGGAAAUGGAUUACAGAUUAUUCUAAUUGGACACUCUAAACGUGCAAUUUAACCAGAAUGAAAUUUAGGGCUGCGUGCUGUGGCUCAUGCCUGUAAUCCUAGCACUUUGGGAAGCCAGGUGUAUCCCUUAAGCCCAGGAGUUUGAGAGCAACUUGGGCAACAUGGUGAAACCUGUAUCUACAAAAAAUACAAAAAUUAGCCAGGUGAGGUGGUGUAUGCCUGUAGUUCCAGCUACUUGGGAGGCUGAGAGAUGGGAGGAUUGGUUGAGCCUAGGAGGUCGAGGCUGCUGUGAGCUGUGAUGGUUCCACUGCACUCCAGCCUGGGCGACAGAGACAGACUCCAUCUCAAAAAAAAAAAAAAAAAAAGUAGCUACCUUGUGGUUGCACUCGUCUGAGACUAGCUCAUGGCUCCAGCUCUCAGGGUGGUGAGUAAUGAUUCUGUGGUCAGACGCAGUUUUGAAGUCAGGCAAGAAAACCUUCAACAAGAGUUAGAGAUGUCCUGUCUAUGAAUUUCUCCUCUAGGCUUAGGGAUAGCCCUGGGAUUCAUGUCAUGCCAGUUAGGGAUCCACUCAUUGUAAGCAAUACAAGUGCCCCCGAAGAGACAGUGCAUUAAUUGUCACCCCUUAGGAGCAUUGUGUGAAUUAGUGUGAUUUAGCACAUGCCCAGAGGGAUGAAACUCUAGCUCCAUAGGGUAGGUCCUGAUUACUCCUGGAGCAGGCAGCCAGCUCAGCUCAUGGGGAGCUCUGAGAAGUCUCUCAAUGCCUCGCAUGCAGCCCCUGCUCAGGAGUCAUGUGUCACUUCACAGUCUUGCUUUCCAGUGGGUCAAAGCAUGAUGUUUAUGAGAAACAAAUACACAAAAUUCUGACUUGUGUGAAUACAGAACACGUGCAAUAAAACGACUGCAAUCUAUUUUUAAAAUGUGGUCUGAGAAGUCAGGUUUAAUAUGACUAUGUAAUAUAUAAACAAUAUAUUUUCCACAGAAAGGAAAAUAUAAAUAAUAAAAUAUGUCUAUUUCUUUUUUUUGGUGGAAAAUUACUCCCACAAUUUGGUCCCAAGGGGGUCUUAAUUUGUCAUCAGGUCUGUGGCUAAAUGUCUUAUAAAGGAAUGCUUCUUUCUUUCGAGAAGUGUACAGGAACAGUCUGCACUGACUGCUUUUACCUGUAAAUGUUUUGAGAAUUCAGAAGUCACUUUCCUUCCACAAUAGGUGCUAGGCAUUUUAUUUAAAUAAAGCAAAAACAUUUCUGUCAUAAAGAAGGUGUUAAUAACCUCAAAGCUAUGCGAAAUAUACUAGUACAAUCUAAUACUCAUGGUGAAAAAUACAGUAAUUAAGAGCAAUUCAAGUUUUUUUGUUUUGGUUUAACUUCAGAAUUAAAAUAAACUCAGAAUUA
Long non-coding RNA from Homo sapiens (human), 3485 nucleotides. RefSeq annotates it as long independently transcribed non-coding RNA 1301. The record is from RefSeq and is marked validated. The transcript has 3 exons. Lineage: Eukaryota; Metazoa; Chordata; Mammalia; Primates; Hominidae.